This 411-nucleotide ribosomal RNA is filed under the name Baenopsis baetica. RNAcentral's name for it is "Flabellina baetica partial 16S ribosomal RNA". It matches the Rfam family "Archaeal large subunit ribosomal RNA", at positions 1902 to 2631 of the family's 2987-position model. Lineage: Eukaryota; Metazoa; Mollusca; Gastropoda; Nudibranchia; Flabellinidae. The record is from RNAcentral.
AAAACAUAGCCAUUAGAUGAUAUUUAUGGUUAAACCUGCCCAAUGUUAGAGAUAAUGAAUGGCCGCGGUACCCUGACCGUGCUAAGGUAGCGUAAUCAGUUGGCUUUUAAAUGGAGUCGGGAAUGAAUGGAAAAACUGGGUUUAGCUGUCUCUUAACUAUUUAUUUGAAUUUACUGUUUAAGUGAAAAAGCUUAAUUACAACAAAAGGACGAGAAGACCCUUAGAAUUUUUUUUAGGGUGGUAGCUUACUAUAAUAAUUUUGUUGGGGCGACAUAGAAAUAUUUAAAACUUUCUUUGAAUUAUAAGCCGAAUUUUUUUAAGUAUGGAUAAAUUACCUAAGGGAUAACAGCAUAAUUCUAUAAUUGAGUUUGUGACCUCGAUGUUGGACUAGGAAACUAGCAGAUUAGCCAU